This 166-nucleotide ribosomal RNA is filed under the name uncultured bacterium. RNAcentral's name for it is "partial 16S rRNA". It matches the Rfam family "Bacterial small subunit ribosomal RNA", at positions 355 to 511 of the family's 1533-position model. The record is from RNAcentral.
UAGGGAAUCUUCGGCAAUGGACGAAAGUCUGACCGAGCAACGCCGCGUGAGUGAAGAAGGUUUUCGGAUCGUAAAACUCUGUUGGUAGAGAAGAACGUUGGUGAGAGUGGAAAGCUCAUCAAGUGACGGUUAACUACCCAGAAAGGGACGGCUAACUACGUGCCCC